This is a long non-coding RNA of Hibiscus syriacus, 617 nucleotides long. RefSeq lists it as uncharacterized. Lineage: Eukaryota; Viridiplantae; Streptophyta; Magnoliopsida; Malvales; Malvaceae. The record is from RefSeq and is a predicted model, not a curated record. The transcript is spliced from 3 exons.
AUACCCCUCUCCAGCCGUUUCCUCUCAUUUACUCUCCCUCAAGCUCCCCUUUGCAACCUAAACUCUCAAGUAAAAAAAACAAACCCCCAUCGGGACCUUCUAUACCACUUGCACAAAUCAUAUAUCGAAGGUUUAGAGCGGUUACCUUGAGCAAUUGGUUAUGGUUCUGACUCCAAGCGACGAGGAAGGACUUCACGUGGACUGGACUGGAAUUAACAAUACUGUUUUGGGCUGAUUUGGGCUACCAUUGGUCCAAAUUUAUAUCGUGUACUGGAUACGAAGCUUCCGGACAAAAACAAGCAUCUAUAGGACUCUUAUGCAUUGGCUUUCUCAAACGUUCAUGCCAAGAAAAGGAAAUUACAAGGGAACAAGCAGUUAAGGAUCUGGAGGAGGGGGAUGAGAGAAUGAAGCAUGGGACAUGUUGAUCCUGUUGUGUAUUAUGUUUUCCUGUAGAGAGGUAGGCAAGGGAGCUCACACCAAAACAAUUGUUCAACUUGAAGAUGCUUCCUUGUCUGAUGCUUUCUUCAAGUAGGAGACUAGGAAUAACAUUUCGUGUAAGAUUCUGUUGGAUUGAAUAUCAAAUAAUUUGCGCACAUUUCUGAUUUAGAACCUUCAUU